RNAcentral lists this ribosomal RNA (796 nucleotides) under uncultured bacterium. RNAcentral's name for it is "bacterial SSU rRNA". It matches the Rfam family "Bacterial small subunit ribosomal RNA", at positions 8 to 796 of the family's 1533-position model. The record is from RNAcentral.
AGAGUUUGAUCAUGGCUCAGAGUGAACGCUGGCGGCAUGCCUAACACAUGCAAGUCGAACGGUAACAGGCCCGCAAGGGUGCUGACGAGUGGCGGACGGGUGAGGAAUACAUCGGAAUUUGCCCAGUCGUGGGGGGAUAACGUAGGGAAACUUACGCUAAUACCGCAUACGACCGAGAGGUGAAAGCGGGGGAUCAGCAAUGACCUCGCGCGAGUGGAUGAGCCGAUGUCGGAUUAGCUAGUUGGUAGGGUAAAGGCCUACCAAGGCGACGAUCCGUAGCUGGUCUGAGAGGAUGAUCAGCCACACUGGGACUGAGACACGGCCCAGACUCCUACGGGAGGCAGCAGUGGGGAAUAUUGGACAAUGGGGGCAACCCUGAUCCAGCAAUGCCGCGUGUGUGAAGAAGGCCUUCGGGUUGUAAAGCACUUUUAUCCGGAACGAAACGCGCUUGGUGAAUAGCCAGGUGAACUGACGGUACCGGAGGAAUAAGCACCGGCUAACUUCGUGCCAGCAGCCGCGGUAAUACGAAGGGUGCAAGCGUUACUCGGAAUUACUGGGCGUAAAGCGUGCGUAGGUGGUUUGUUAAGUCCGUUGUGAAAGCCCUGGGCUCAACCUGGGAAUGGCAGUGGAUACUGGCGAGCUAGAGUGCGGUAGAGGGUAGUGGAAUUCCCGGUGUAGCAGUGAAAUGCGUAGAGAUCGGGAGGAACACCAGUGGCGAAGGCGGCUACCUGGACCAGCACUGACACUGAGGCACGAAAGCGUGGGGAGCAAACAGGAUUAGAUACCCUAGUAGUCC